AUUGAACGCUAGCGGGAUGCCUUACACAUGCAAGUCGAGCGGAGGGGUGAACGGGUGAGGAAUGUAUAGGAACGUGCCCAGUCGCGGGGGAUAACUACGCGAAAGCGUAGCUAAUACCGCAUCCUAUUAGAGCGGGCGAGAUCGGAUUAGCUCGUUGGUGGGGUAACGGCUCACCAAGGCGACGAUCCGUAGCUGGUUUGAGAGGACGACCAGCCACACUGGGACUGAGACACGGCCCAGACUCCUACGAGAGGCAGCAGUGGGGAAUUUUGGACAAUGGGGGAAACCCUGAUCCAGACAUCCCGCGUGUGUGAUGAAGGCCUUCGGGUUGUAAAGCACUUUUGGCAGGGAAGCGUUACCCGCAGAAUAAGCACCGGCUAACUACGUGCCAGCAGCCGCGGUAAUUC
Molecule: ribosomal RNA, 407 nt
Filed under: uncultured bacterium
Lineage: Bacteria
Description: partial 16S ribosomal RNA
Rfam family: Bacterial small subunit ribosomal RNA
Source: RNAcentral